UGGGGAAUCUUGCACAAUGGGGGAAACCCUGAUGCAGCGACGCCGCGUGAGUGAUGAAGUCCUUCGGGAUGUAAAGCUCUUUCGACAGGGACGAUUAUGACGGUACCUGGAGAAGAAGCUGCGGCUAACUACGUGCCAGCAGCCGCGGUAAUACGUAGGCAGCGAACGUUGUUCGGAGUUACUGGGCGUAAAGGGCGCGUAGGCGGUCCUGUCAGUCCCUUGUGAAAUCCCCCGGCUCAACUGGGGAACUGCAAGGGAUACAGCAGGGCUUGAGUUCGGGAGAGGGAAGCGGAAUUCCGCGUGUAGCAGUGAAAUGCGUAGAUAUGCGGAGGAACACCGAUGGCGAAGGCAGUCCCCUGGGCCUGUACUGACGCUCAUGCACGAAAGCGUGGGGAGCAAACAGGAUUAGAUACCCCAGUAGUCCCUGAGCGGGCUGGCAAGGCGC
This 445-nucleotide ribosomal RNA is filed under the name uncultured bacterium. RNAcentral describes it as "bacterial SSU rRNA". It matches the Rfam family "Bacterial small subunit ribosomal RNA", at positions 355 to 823 of the family's 1533-position model. The record is from RNAcentral.